This 496-nucleotide ribosomal RNA is filed under the name uncultured bacterium. Its description in RNAcentral is "partial 16S ribosomal RNA". It matches the Rfam family "Bacterial small subunit ribosomal RNA", at positions 29 to 507 of the family's 1533-position model. The record is from RNAcentral.
AUGCACGCUGGCGGCGUGCCUAAUACAUGCAAGUCGAGCGAACGGACGAGAAGCUUGCUUCUCUGAUGUUAGCGGCGGACGGGUGAGUAACACGUGGAUAACCUACCUAUAAGACUGGGAUAACUUCGGGAAACCGUAGCUAAUACCGGAUAAUAUUUUGAACCGCAUGGUUCAAAAGUGAAAGACGGUCUUGCUGUCACUUAUAGAUGGAUCCGCGCUGCAUUAGCUAGUUGGUAAGGUAACGGCUUACCAAGGCAACGAUGCAUAGCCGACCUGAGAGGGUGAUCGGCCACACUGGAACUGAGACACGGUCCGGACUCCUACGGGAGGCAGCAGUAGGGAAUCUUCCGCAAUGGGCGAAAGCCUGACGGAGCAACGCCGCGUGAGUGAUGAAGGUCUUCGGAUCGUAAAACUCUGUUAUUAGGGAAGAACAUAUGUGUAAGUAACUGUGCACAUCUUGACGGUACCUAAUCAGAAAGCCACGGCUAACUACGUG